CGGAGGAGCCGGAGCCAGGGGAGGCCGGAGCCCGGGGGGGGCCGGAGCCAGGGGAGGCCGGAGACCGGAGGCCAGCCAGGAGGCCGGACCGGGGGCAGAGCCAGGGAGGCCGGCCGGAGACCGAGGCCGGGGGACAGAGCCCGGGGAGGCCGGAGCCCAGGGGAGAGCCAGGAGCCAGAGCGGAGGCCGGAGCCAGGGAGGGUCGGAGACCAGGAGGCCGGGCCGGCAGGAGGCCGGAGGGGACCGGAGCCAGGGGAGGCCGGAGCCCGGGGGGACCGGAGGCCGGGGGGACCAGAGGCCGGAGGGGACCGGGGAGGCCGGAGCGGCGCAUCUAACUCCGGAGGGCCCCUGAACGGUCGCCGGCCUUGGGAACCCGGCGGAGUAGAUACUCACCAUGGCGAAGUCCGGAAGGAAAGGACGAGAACGGCCGCUCGCGGCUCAAGUCACUCGGGGCGUGCGUCAAUGCGCACGCAGGCCCCCGACGCACUGCCGGCGUAGGAGGCCCCGCCCCAAGGACCCGCUUUUGGAGCUGUCCCCGCCGCUGCCUGCUCAGAAAGGCCAAGGCGCAUGCGCAGAUGCGGAUGACCCUCCCGCGCAGGGCGUCCCCGCGCCGAGAGGCUCCUUUUCGGCUUUGGGAGGGUUAUUUUAGGGGCCGCUAGGGGCGCCAGAGCUGAGGCGCGCUGAGCCUGGAGGCCGGGAGGCCGAGUCCUACAGCGCCCCUGACCUGGCCCGCCCCGGGGAGCCCGCUCCCCCUCGGUAACGCGCAGCCUCCCGGGCGGUAGCAGCCAGCGUCCCACACCGCCCCCCGGCUCCGGGAGCUCCGAGAACGCCCUUCCGGCUCCCGGCCCCAGGAAGGGCCCCAAGCCCCUUUCCCCCGGGGCUGCCCCGCCCCCACCCCGGGUCCGGACCGGACCGUUCUGCCCCAAAGCGCGACGCUGGCCAGACCCGGGGGAGGCGCAGAGAGGACUGGAGGAGGGGUUGGAGGGGGGCAGCCUUUGGUUUCCGCUGGGCUCUAGUUUCAAUGCAAUAAAGGUGGAGCGUGUUCUCCAGAGGGAAGUGAUCUGCAGACUGUGGGCGCCGCCCUGGCUGGGGGGAGGGGCCUUCUCCCCCUCCGCUCCCAGCUCCACUAGGGGGCGACACUGAGGAGGGGGCGCCGGCGCACCCCGGCCCCAUCUAGGGGGUGGGUGCCUCUGGGGCGGCCUGCCCUGGAGCCGGGCUCUGCCCCCACAAAAGCCUGGGCCGGAGGGAUCGCGCCUGGAGGGGCCUGGGAGAGGGGGCAGGGCCUCCCGCGAGCGGCCCCCACAAGCAGGAGCCAUGCCCUCGAAUCCCACAAAGAGGGUCCCAGCUGGGGGUGUCUACAGUGGGUGUGACCCCCCCGGGGGGGCUGGUCGGUUCCCGCAGAAGGGGAUUCCCUCCUGGGGGGGCUGCGGACCCUCGGGCCACUGGCGAGAAGCUGCUUUCUCCCCGCCUGGGACGCCACAGACCGGGGGCUCCCCGUGAGGCAGCGGCCCCAGCCACAGACCCCGGGCUCCUCCUCUCCCGGACCGCCUCCCCCGCAGGUCCUCACUCCAAAGGAAGGGGGAGGCCCGGCGCCCUCAGUGCCCUUGGGCCGGCUGCUCUGCACACCCAGAAGCUGCCCCAAUGUCUGCGGUUGCACACAGCGGGCGGCACCGGCCCCACAAUUGGGGCUCGAGUUCAGAUCCGGCCCGAGGCCCUGCCCCCCAGCUGCGGGCUGGGUGAUUGCCUCCGGAGGCCCUUCCCAGUCAGAACCCCACCCCACCCC
RNAcentral lists this long non-coding RNA (1783 nucleotides) under Sarcophilus harrisii (Tasmanian devil). RNAcentral's name for it is "lncRNA (ENSSHAG00000023720.1)". The record is from RNAcentral. Lineage: Eukaryota; Metazoa; Chordata; Mammalia; Dasyuromorphia; Dasyuridae.